This 312-nucleotide small RNA is filed under the name Nelumbo nucifera (sacred lotus). Its description in RNAcentral is "Early nodulin 40". It matches the Rfam family "Early nodulin 40". Lineage: Eukaryota; Viridiplantae; Streptophyta; Magnoliopsida; Proteales; Nelumbonaceae. The record is from Rfam by way of RNAcentral.
AUGAAACUAUUUUGGCAGGAAUCUACACAUGGGUCUUGAAAAGGAAGAUAAAUAAAGUAUGGAGAGAGAGAGAGAGAUAUAUAUAGAGAGAGAGAGAGGCAUUCAGAUAUCUCCUCCUCCAAUCUAUCAUCAGUUUGUAUAUGCUGCUGGGCCAUCAGCUUGCCUGCAGUCUAAUUCCUUCUUUAUCUUAAGCACCCACCUCAGCAAGCUUAUUAUGAUGAAGUUUUCUAGAGCUAACAGCUGCAGCUUUUGGCUAAGGGCAUAGCAAACCGGCAAGUCACAGAGAGGCUCAGAAGACUCGGAAAGGGUCUU